RNAcentral lists this ribosomal RNA (253 nucleotides) under uncultured bacterium. Its description in RNAcentral is "partial 16S ribosomal RNA". It matches the Rfam family "Bacterial small subunit ribosomal RNA", at positions 524 to 776 of the family's 1533-position model. The record is from RNAcentral.
UACGUAGGCAGCAAGCGUUGUUCGGAAUUACUGGGCGUAAAGAGUACGUAGGUGGUUUGCCAAGUCCGAUGUGAAAUCUCCUGGCCUAACUGGGAGGGUGCGUUAGAUACUGGCAGGCUUGAGUGUGGGAGAGGAGAGCGGAAUUCCUGGUGUAGCGGUGAAAUGCGUAGAUAUCAGGAGGAACGCCUGUGGUGUAGACGGCUCUCUGGACCAUUACUGACACUGAGGUACGAAAGCGUGGGUAGCAAACAGG